GAUGAACGCUGGCGGCGUGCCUAAUACAUGCAAGUCGAGCGAACAGAUAAGGAGCUUGCUCCUUUGACGUUAGCGGCGGACGGGUGAGUAACACGUGGGUAACCUACCUAUAAGACUGGGAUAACUUCGGGAAACCGGAGCUAAUACCGGAUAACAUUUGGAACCGCAUGGUUCUAAAGUGAAAGAUGGUUUUGCUAUCACUUAUAGAUGGACCCGCGCCGUAUUAGCUAGUUGGUAAGGUAACGGCUUACCAAGGCAACGAUACGUAGCCGACCUGAGAGGGUGAUCGGCCACACUGGAACUGAGACACGGUCCAGACUCCUACGGGAGGCAGCAGUAGGGAAUCUUCCGCAAUGGGCGAAAGCCUGACGGAGCAACGCCGCGUGAGUGAUGAAGGGUUUCGGCUCGAAAAACUCUGUUAUUAGGGAAGAACAAACGUGUAAGUAACUGUGCACGUCUUGACGGUACCUAAUCAGAGAGCCACGGCUAACUACGUG
Molecule: ribosomal RNA, 497 nt
Filed under: uncultured bacterium
Lineage: Bacteria
Description: partial 16S ribosomal RNA
Rfam family: Bacterial small subunit ribosomal RNA
Source: RNAcentral